This 253-nucleotide ribosomal RNA is filed under the name uncultured microorganism. RNAcentral's name for it is "partial 16S ribosomal RNA". It matches the Rfam family "Bacterial small subunit ribosomal RNA", at positions 524 to 776 of the family's 1533-position model. The record is from RNAcentral.
UACGUAGGUGGCAAGCGUUGUCCGGAAUUAUUGGGCGUAAAGCGCGCGCAGGCGGCCUUUUAAGUCUGAUGUGAAAGCCCACGGCUUAACCGUGGAAGGUCAUUGGAAACUGGAAGGCUUGAGGACAGAAGAGAAAAGCGGAAUUCCACGUGUAGCGGUGAAAUGCGUAGAGAUGUGGAGGAACACCAGUGGCGAAGGCGGCUUUUUGGUCUGUAACUGACGCUGAGGCGCGAAAGCGUGGGGAGCAAACAGG